GCUUUGCGUUCGAAGGAGAAAAAACAUCUUGUCAAAGCUACUUCGAGGGAUGAGAAAGCUCUUGUAUCUCUUGUUGGUCGACGGAGGGGCAGAUUGAAGGUUAACGACAAUUUGUUUUGUUUUUACUGCAAACGGAAAGGGACAUUUGAAAGCAUUGCGAUAAGUUGGAGGCUAAAGGCAAUUUAGCUACAAAUCAUUGAGCGCAAACUUUGACUUUAGACGAAACAAAUGUUGUUGAAGAUUUUUCAGACGACGAAGAUGUAAUGUUGAUUGUGGCAUCUGAUGUGAAAUCCAGGCCUGACGACGAGUGGGUUCUCAAUUCGGCAUGUUCGCAUCAUAUGUGUUCCAAUCGAAAAUUCUUUCAGACAUAUGAGGCUAUUCAGCAAGGUGGAAUUGUAAUGAGAAACGACCAGUCUUACCACAUUGCUAGGACCGAUCGAGUCAUAUUGAGGCUGCGGGAUGGGACAUUCAGAAUAAUUACGCAAGUUCGACAUAUUCCUGACCUGCAAAGGAAUCUUAUCUUACUGAGCGCCCUAGAUGCAAAAGGGUAUAAAUUCUCUGGUGGAGAUGGAGUAUUGAAGGUCUAAAGGAGUGUCAGGUUAUACUUGAGGGACGGAGAAGAUCUCAGUUGUACAUGUUGUAGGGAAGCGUAGAACCAGUUAAGAGAUAUUUGGACAAAUUUGGUAUCGUAUUGGAUAUUCAAUUAGGUACAAUACCUUUUGUGAUGGGCUCUGGGUCAGUUCAGAAGAUUGCUCAAUGGAGCGUAGGUAAUUUCGCUUUGCCACCAAUAUUAGCGAUUGCACUGUGUUCAAAUACCAGGAUUCGAUAUAUGGAGCAUAGGUACAAUGUGGUCGGCAAUGUCUAUGAUCCUUUUGGGAUCUUUGAAGGUGACAGUUCUGGAAAGGGAC
RNAcentral lists this long non-coding RNA (908 nucleotides) under Olea europaea subsp. europaea. The record is from RNAcentral. Lineage: Eukaryota; Viridiplantae; Streptophyta; Magnoliopsida; Lamiales; Oleaceae.